UAACACAUGCAAGUCGACGAUUCUCUUCGGAGAAGAGCGGCGGACGGGUGAGUAACGCGUGGGUAACCUGCCCUGUACACACGGAUAACAUACCGAAAGGUAUGCUAAUACGAGAUAAUAUGCUUUUAUCGCAUGGUAGAAGUAUCAAAGCUCCGGCGGUACAGGAUGGACCCGCGUCUGAUUAGCUAGUUGGUAAGGUAACGGCUUACCAAGGCGACGAUCAGUAGCCGACCUGAGAGGGUGAUCGGCCACAUUGGAACUGAGACACGGUCCAAACUCCUACGGGAGGCAGCAGUGGGGAAUAUUGCACAAUGGGCGAAAGCCUGAUGCAGCAACGCCGCGUGAGCGAUGAAGGCCUUCGGGUCGUAAAGCUCUGUCCUCAAGGAAGAUAAUGACGGUACUUGAGGAGGAAGCCCCGGCUAACUACGUGCCAGCAGCCGCGGUAAUACGUAGGGGGCUAGCGUUAUCCGGAAUUACUGGGCGUAAAGGGUGCGUAGGUGGUUUCUUAAGUCAGAGGUGAAAGGCUACGGCUCAACCGUAGUAAGCCUUUGAAACUGGGAAACUUGAGUGCAGGAGAGGAGAGUGGAAUUCCUAGUGUAGCGGCGAAAUGCGUAGAUAUUAGGAGGAACACCAGUUGCGAAGGCGGCUCUCUGGACUGUAACUGACAC
Molecule: ribosomal RNA, 668 nt
Filed under: uncultured Clostridium sp.
Lineage: Bacteria; Bacillati; Bacillota; Clostridia; Eubacteriales; Clostridiaceae
Description: bacterial SSU rRNA
Rfam family: Bacterial small subunit ribosomal RNA
Source: RNAcentral